Molecule: transfer RNA, 90 nt
Filed under: Acidobacteriota bacterium
Lineage: Bacteria; Pseudomonadati; Acidobacteriota
Also listed under: 2 other names
Description: Acidobacteria bacterium tRNA-Ser
Rfam family: tRNA
About the family: Transfer RNA (tRNA) molecules are approximately 80 nucleotides in length. Their secondary structure includes four short double-helical elements and three loops (D, anti-codon, and T loops).
Source: RNAcentral
GGAGAGAUGGCCGAGCGGUUGAAGGCGCACGCUUGGAAAGCGUGUAUAUCCGAAAGGGUAUCUGGGGUUCGAAUCCCCAUCUCUCCGCCA